This 257-nucleotide ribosomal RNA is filed under the name uncultured bacterium. RNAcentral's name for it is "partial 16S ribosomal RNA". It matches the Rfam family "Bacterial small subunit ribosomal RNA", at positions 526 to 780 of the family's 1533-position model. The record is from RNAcentral.
CGGAGGGGGCUAGCGUUGUUCGGAAUUACUGGGGCGUAAAAGCGCACGUAGGCGGACUGGAAAGUUGGGGGUGAAAUCCCGGGGCUCAACCUCGGAACUGCCUUCAAAACUAUCAGUCUGGAGUUCGAGAGAGGUGAGUGGAAUUCCGAGUGUAGAGGUGAAAUUCGUAGAUAUUCGGAGGAACACCAGUGGCGAAGGCGGCUCACUGGCUCGAUACUGACGCUGAGGUGCGAAAGCGUGGGGAGCAAACAGGAUUU